This 1010-nucleotide ribosomal RNA is filed under the name uncultured Ascomycota. RNAcentral's name for it is "eukaryotic LSU rRNA". It matches the Rfam family "Eukaryotic large subunit ribosomal RNA", at positions 1 to 1026 of the family's 3401-position model. The record is from RNAcentral. Lineage: Eukaryota; Fungi; Ascomycota.
CUUUUGACCUCGGAUCAGGUAGGGAUACCCGCUGAACUUAAGCAUAUCAAUAAGCGGAGGAAAAGAAACCAACAGGGAUUGCCCUAGUAACGGCGAGUGAAGCGGCAACAGCUCAAAUUUGAAAUCUGGCUCUUUUAGAGUCCGAGUUGUAAUUUGCAGAGGGCGCUUUGGCUUUGGCAGCAGUCCAAGUUCCUUGGAACAGGACGUCACAGAGGGUGAGAAUCCCGUACGUGGUCGCUGGCUAUUGCCGUGUAAAGCCCCUUCGACGAGUCGAGUUGUUUGGGAAUGCAGCUCUAAAUGGGAGGUACAUUUCUUCUAAAGCUAAAUAUUGGCCAGAGACCGAUAGCGCACAAGUAGAGUGAUCGAAAGAUGAAAAGCACUUUGGAAAGAGAGUCAAACAGCACGUGAAAUUGUUGAAAGGGAAGCGCUUGCAGCCAGACUUGCUUACAGUUGCUCAUCCGGGUUUCUACCCGGUGCACUCUUCUGUAGGCAGGCCAGCAUCAGUUUGGGCGGUAGGGUAAAGGUCUCUGUCACGUACCUCCUUUCGGGGAGGCCUUAUAGGGAAGACGACAUACUACCAGCCUGGACUGAGGUCCGCGCAUCUGCUAGGAUGCUGGCGUAAUGGCUGUAAGCGGCCCGUCUUGAAACACGGACCAAGGAGUCUAACAUCUAUGCGAGUGUUUGGGUGUCAAGCCCGAGCGCGUAAUGAAAGUGAACGGAGGUGGGAACCCGCAAGGGUGCACCAUCGACCGAUCCUGAUGUCUUCGGAAGGAUUUGAGUAAGAGCAUGGCUGUUGGGACCCGAAAGAUGGUGAACUAUGCUUGAAUAGGGUGAAGCCAGAGGAAACUCUGGUGGAGGCUCGCAGCGGUUCUGACGUGCAAAUCGAUCGUCAAAUUUGGGCAUAGGGGCGAAAGACUAAUCGAACUAUCUAGUAGCUGGUUCCUGCCGAAGUUUCCCCUCAGGAUAGCAGUAACGUAUUCAGUUUUAUGAGGUAAAGCGAAUGAUUAAAG